GAUGAACGCCGGCGGCGUGCCUAAUACAUGCAAGUCGAGCGAACGGACGAGAAGCUUGCUUUUCUGAUGUUAGCGGCGGACGGGUGAGUAACACGUGGAUAACCUACCUAUAAGACUGGGAUAACUUCGGGAAACCGGAGCUAAUACCGGAUAAUAUUUUGAACCGCAUGGUUCAAAAGUGAAAGACGGUCUUGCUGUCACUUAUAGAUGGAUCCGCGCUGCAUUAGCUAGUUGGUAAGGUAACGGCUUACCAAGGCAACGAUGCAUAGCCGACCUGAGAGGGUGAUCGGCCACACUGGAACUGAGACACGGUCCAGACUCCUACGGGAGGCAGCAGUAGGGAAUCUUCCGCAAUGGGCGAAAGCCUGGCGGAGCAACGCCGCGUGAGUGAUGAAGGUCUUCGGAUCGUAAAACUCUGUUAUUAGGGAAGAACAUAUGUGUAAGUAACUGUGCACAUCUUGACGGUACCUAAUCAGAAAGCCACGGCUAACUACGUG
This 497-nucleotide ribosomal RNA is filed under the name uncultured bacterium. RNAcentral describes it as "partial 16S ribosomal RNA". It matches the Rfam family "Bacterial small subunit ribosomal RNA", at positions 28 to 507 of the family's 1533-position model. The record is from RNAcentral.